RNAcentral lists this ribosomal RNA (434 nucleotides) under Antillognatha lucida. RNAcentral describes it as "bacterial SSU rRNA". It matches the Rfam family "Eukaryotic small subunit ribosomal RNA", at positions 959 to 1410 of the family's 1831-position model. Lineage: Eukaryota; Metazoa; Arthropoda; Arachnida; Araneae; Tetragnathidae. The record is from RNAcentral.
CAAGAAUGUUUCCAUUAAUCAAGAACGAAAGUCAGAGGUUCGAAGGCGAUCAGAUACCGCCCUAGUUCUGACCAUAAACGAUGCCAGCCAGCGAUCCGGCUGCGUUCCUCAAAUGACGCGCCGGGCAGCUUCCGGGAAACCAAAGCUUUUGGGUUCCGGGGGGAGUAUGGUUGCAAAGCUGAAACUUAAAGGAAUUGACGGAAGCGCACACAAGAAAUGGGGCCUGCGGCUUAAUUUGACUCAACACGGUGCAACUCACCCGACCCGGACACAGGAAGGAUUGACAGAUUAAGAGCUCUUUCUUGAUUCUGUGACAGGUGGUGCAUGGCCGUUUCUAGUUGGUGGAGUGAUUUGUCUGCUUUAUUGCGAUAACGAGCGAGACUCUAGCCUACUAACUAGGCGCAGGCUUGUCCAUUGCGACGAGCCUCGUCUUC